Molecule: long non-coding RNA, 401 nt
Filed under: Rattus norvegicus (Norway rat)
Lineage: Eukaryota; Metazoa; Chordata; Mammalia; Rodentia; Muridae
Description: long non-coding RNA NONRATT028355
Source: RNAcentral
CGGGGGCUUCGAUUCAGGCCAUGGACCACAGCCGAAGCCUCAAUUCGAUGCGUGCCCAGUCGGAAAGCCAGGAAGUGUUGGCAAGAAGCAAGCAAGUGGAUUUUAAUGCAUGUGUUGACUUAACAUGCUUGGAAACGUUCGGAGAGAAGAGCAGUGUGCUAAACGUGAAGAAAGAGCUUGAGCUAACCCUGGAUGACCGGUUCCUGCCUUCACCCCACAGGUCCUUCUGACUGAUCUCUUGUAACUGUCACAUUGUUAUCAACAGCACGAUCGCUGGGUGUGGAGUUAGGAGGAAGGAGAAUUAAGAACAUGAACUGAACUCUCAGGAUCAUCUUGAUCAAGAGGCACUAAUGCCAUGUUGUUUCCCAGUGACAUGCUGCUACCUUGAGAACCACAGUGAG